This 490-nucleotide ribosomal RNA is filed under the name uncultured bacterium. RNAcentral describes it as "partial 16S ribosomal RNA". It matches the Rfam family "Bacterial small subunit ribosomal RNA", at positions 30 to 507 of the family's 1533-position model. The record is from RNAcentral.
AUUGAACGCUGGCGGCAGGCCUAACACAUGCAAGUCGAACGGUAACAGGAAGAAGCUUGCUUCUUUGCUGACGAGUGGCGGACGGGAGAGCAAUGUCUGGGAAACUGCAUGAUGGAGGGGGAUAACUACUAGAAACGGUAGCUACAACCGAAUAACGUCGCAAGCACCAAGAGGGGGGCCUUAGGGCCUCUUGCCAUCGGAUAUGCCCAGAUGGGUUUAGCUAGUAGGUGGGGUAACGGCUUACCAAGCCGACGAUCCCUAGCUGGGUUGAGAGGAUGACCAGCCACACUGGAACUGAGACACGGUCCAGAGUCCUACGGGAGGACGCAGUGGGGAAUAUUGGACAAUGGACGAAAGCCUGAUGCAGCGAUGCCGCGUGUAUGAAGAAGGGCUUCGGGUUGUAAAGUACUUUAAGCGGGGAGGAAGGGAGUAAAGUUAAUACCUUUGCUCAUUGACGGUACCCGCAGAAGAAGCCCCGGCUAACUCCGUG